CGGGGCUCCCCAAGUCCCCGCAGGGCCCCGAACACCUGGUCUCACCUUCACAGGUGAGCGCCCCCGGGUGUCGCUUCUUCCAGCCCUGGCAGCACACGGCAUGGGUCUGCCGCACCUCGCGCCUCACCUCCCGCCAGGCCACGCGGUGCUGCAGAUGCGCCUCCCAGCGCACAGGGUCAGGUAGGGCUUGUACACUGGCUGGCUGUAGGACUCGUUGUAGCGGAGUGGGACCACCACCGUCUGCUUGGAGCAGACCCCCUGUCUGCAUCCAGAUCGGGAGAGCAGCCCCCACCCUUCCAGGAACGUUCCCGCCGGGCCGGAGUCGGGACAUCCACUUCUCCAUGCUGGCCCCCGGAAGUGCCCGCACCUGUGCGCGUUUAACCGAUCCACUCAGCAUCCUGCAGGCUCACACCCCAGUGCCCCUCCACCACCCCAUCCACCCCCAGGCCUCGGCCUCCUUAACACACCCCCUAUAACUGAUCUUCAUGCUUUCAAAACCCACAUAUCAUUCAUACAGCCUCACCAAGCACCUGGAGCCUUCACAUCUUUUUCUGAGACAAGACCCACAGCAUCACGAGCUCGCUGGAUGAGCACCAGUCAGAGGCCAUCUCCCAGCUCACAGACCCAAGGCUCGGAGUCCACCCCGCACUCCCCCACUGGCAUUUUCUCCCCACCUGGCUUCCCCUCUCUCCGGGAGACUUCAGGCGGCCCAGCCUCAGCAGCGGCGGCUCAGACUGGAG
Heterocephalus glaber (naked mole-rat) is the source of this 740-nucleotide non-coding RNA. The record is from RefSeq and is a predicted model, not a curated record. NCBI's taxonomy places the organism in Eukaryota, Metazoa, Chordata, Mammalia, Rodentia, Bathyergidae.